This 465-nucleotide ribosomal RNA is filed under the name Vreelandella stevensii. RNAcentral describes it as "partial 16S ribosomal RNA". It matches the Rfam family "Bacterial small subunit ribosomal RNA", at positions 338 to 795 of the family's 1533-position model. The record is from RNAcentral. Lineage: Bacteria; Pseudomonadati; Pseudomonadota; Gammaproteobacteria; Oceanospirillales; Halomonadaceae.
CCUACGGGAGGCAGCAGUGGGGAAUAUUGGACAAUGGGCGAAAGCCUGAUCCAGCCAUGCCGCGUGUGUGAAGAAGGCCUUCGGGUUGUAAAGCACUUUCAGUGGGGAAGAAAGCCUUGGGGCUAAUACCCUCGAGGAAGGACAUCACCCACAGAAGAAGCACCGGCUAACUCCGUGCCAGCAGCCGCGGUAAUACGGAGGGUGCGAGCGUUAAUCGGAAUUACUGGGCGUAAAGCGCGCGUAGGCGGUCUGAUAAGCCGGUUGUGAAAGCCCCGGGCUCAACCUGGGAACGGCAUCCGGAACUGUCAGGCUAGAGUGCAGGAGAGGAAGGUAGAAUUCCCGGUGUAGCGGUGAAAUGCGUAGAGAUCGGGAGGAAUACCAGUGGCGACGGCGGCCUUCUGGACUGACACUGACGCUGAGGUGCGAAAGCGUGGGUAGCAAACAGGAUUAGAUACCCGAGUAGUC